This 262-nucleotide ribosomal RNA is filed under the name uncultured Ascomycota. RNAcentral describes it as "partial 18S ribosomal RNA". It matches the Rfam family "Eukaryotic small subunit ribosomal RNA", at positions 624 to 888 of the family's 1831-position model. Lineage: Eukaryota; Fungi; Ascomycota. The record is from RNAcentral.
UUNNAAGCUCGUAGUUGAACCUUGGGCCUGACCGAUCUGUCCUCCUAGUCGAGCGCACGGAUUCGGUUGGGCCUUUCCUUCUGGGGAUCCCUAUGCCCUUCACUGGGCGUAGUGGGGAACCAGGACUUUUACCUUGAAAAAAUUAGAGUGUUCAAAGCAGGCAUUUGCUCGAAUACAUUAGCAUGGAAUAAUAGAAUAGGACAUCGGUUCUAUUUUGGUGGUUUCUAGGACCGCUGUGAUGAUUAAUAGGGAUAGUCGGGGG